GAAAGCAACGCGAAGAACCUUACCAGGUCUUGACAUCCUCUGACAACCCUAGAGAUAGGGCUUUCCCUUCGGGGACAGAGUGACAGGUGGUGCAUGGUUGUCGUCAGCUCGUGUCGUGAGAUGUUGGGUUAAGUCCCGCAACGAGCGCAACCCUUGAUCUUAGUUGCCAGCAUUCAGUUGGGCACUCUAAGGUGACUGCCGGUGACAAACCGGAGGAAGGUGGGGAUGACGUCAAAUCAUCAUGCCCCUUAUGACCUGGGCUACACACGUGCUACAAUGGACAGAACAAAGGGCUGCGAGACCGCAAGGUUUAGCCAAUCCCACAAAUCUGUUCUCAGUUCGGAUCGCAGUCUGCAACUCGACUGCGUGAAGCUGGAAUCGCUAGUAAUCGCGGAUCAGCAUGCCGCGGUGAAUACGUUCCCGGGCCUUGUACACACCGCCCGUCACACCACGAGAGUUUGCAACACCCGAAGUCGGUGAGGUAACCUUUAUGGAGCCAGCCGC
This 504-nucleotide ribosomal RNA is filed under the name Bacillus pumilus. RNAcentral's name for it is "bacterial SSU rRNA". It matches the Rfam family "Bacterial small subunit ribosomal RNA", at positions 953 to 1456 of the family's 1533-position model. The record is from RNAcentral. Lineage: Bacteria; Bacillati; Bacillota; Bacilli; Caryophanales; Bacillaceae.